This is a long non-coding RNA of Hippocampus comes (tiger tail seahorse), 243 nucleotides long. RefSeq lists it as uncharacterized. The transcript is spliced from 3 exons. NCBI's taxonomy places the organism in Eukaryota, Metazoa, Chordata, Actinopteri, Syngnathiformes, Syngnathidae. The record is from RefSeq and is a predicted model, not a curated record.
UUUUUUAAUAUCUACAGAAAAGUUACUUCCCUCCAAAUCAGUCAUAAAACCAGGUUUCUCAUCUGGUUUUGAAAAGAAAGCCAACUCCCCUCCUGUGGAGUGCAAGCAAGAGCCGACCAAGUCCAACACUCUUCCUCGUGCUGGCGGAGCUCAGGCCAAACGUGCCCUCUUUGAGAGGAUGAACUCCGACCCCGUCAAGCCGAAGGAUUCCAAGCCCAAGCUGAAGCGCUCCCAGAGCUUUGG